GAUGAACGCUGGCGGCGUGCCUAAUACAUGCAAGUCGAGCGAACAGACGAGGAGCUUGCUCCUCUGACGUUAGCGGCGGACGGGUGAGUAACACGUGGAUAACCUACCUAUAAGACUGGGAUAACUUCGGGAAACCGGAGCGAAUACCGGAUAAUAUAUUGAACCGCAUGGUUCAAUAGUGAAAGACGGUUUUGCUGUCACUUAUAGAUGGAUCCGCGCCGCAUUAGCUAGUUGGUAAGGUAACGGCUUACCAAGGCGACGAUGCGUAGCCGACCUGAGAGGGUGAUCGGCCACACUGGAACUGAGACACGGUCCAGACUCCUACGGGAGGCAGCAGUAGGGGAUCUUCCGCAAUGGGCGAAAGCCUGACGGAGCAACGCCGCGUGAGUGAUGAAGGUCUUCGGAUCGUAAAACUCUGUUAUUAGGGAAGAACAAAUGUGUAAGUAACUAUGCACGUCUUGACGGUACCUAAUCAGAAAGCCACGGCUAACUACGUG
RNAcentral lists this ribosomal RNA (497 nucleotides) under uncultured bacterium. Its description in RNAcentral is "partial 16S ribosomal RNA". It matches the Rfam family "Bacterial small subunit ribosomal RNA", at positions 28 to 507 of the family's 1533-position model. The record is from RNAcentral.